Molecule: long non-coding RNA, 248 nt
Filed under: Solanum tuberosum (potato)
Lineage: Eukaryota; Viridiplantae; Streptophyta; Magnoliopsida; Solanales; Solanaceae
Description: long non-coding RNA (STUB_LNC006632)
Source: RNAcentral
CGGCCAUUGUUUCACCGGAAUCUUCUUUUUUUCCCGGUGAAAGUUUGAACGCACACCGUUAUUUCUAGCUAGAAGUACUAGACAGUAGACAAUGUCAUGUGAAAAACAUCACAAGUUUUUGAAGAUUUGUAAUUAAUUAGUUGAGAUUUUUAAUUUGGAGGAAAGAGAAAAACAGAGAAGAUGAUAGGGCGGGUGGACUUGUUGUUGGUAUUGUUGAUAGCAACGACGGCGACUAUUGGGGCUGAAAC